UGGGGAAUAUUGCACAAUGGGCGCAAGCCUGAUGCAGCCAUGCCGCGUGUGUGAAGAAGGCCUUCGGGUUGUAAAGCACUUUCAGCGAGGAGGAAGGUGGUGGACUUAAUACGUUCAUCAAUUGACGUUACUCGCAGAAGAAGCACCGGCUAACUCCGUGCCAGCAGCCGCGGUAAUACGGAGGGUGCAAGCGUUAAUCGGAAUUACUGGGCGUAAAGCGCACGCAGGCGGUUUGUUAAGUCAGAUGUGAAAUCCCCGGGCUCAACCUGGGAACUGCAUUUGAAACUGGCAAGCUAGAGUCUCGUAGAGGGGGGUAGAAUUCCAGGUGUAGCGGUGAAAUGCGUAGAGAUCUGGAGGAAUACCGGUGGCGAAGGCGGCCCCCUGGACGAAGACUGACGCUCAGGUGCGAAAGCGUGGGGGGCCAAACNGGAUUAGAUACCCUGGUAGUCCACGCUGUAAACGAUGUCGAUUUGGAGGUUGUGCCCUUGAGGCGUGGCUUCCGGAGCUAACGCGUUAAAUCGACCGCCUGGGGAGUAC
This 537-nucleotide ribosomal RNA is filed under the name uncultured bacterium. Its description in RNAcentral is "partial 16S ribosomal RNA". It matches the Rfam family "Bacterial small subunit ribosomal RNA", at positions 355 to 883 of the family's 1533-position model. The record is from RNAcentral.